AAAAUAUUAGUUAAAUUUAUAACAUUAGUUUGUCAAACUAAAAUUACAAUUUGUGUAUUUUA
This 62-nucleotide transfer RNA is filed under the name Platorchestia japonica. RNAcentral's name for it is "tRNA-Asp". Lineage: Eukaryota; Metazoa; Arthropoda; Malacostraca; Amphipoda; Talitridae. The record is from RNAcentral.